GCCCCCGUAGCUCAGCGGAUAGAGCGCUUGGCUUCGGACCAAGAGGCCGCACGUUCGAAUCGUGCCGGGGGUACAA
Molecule: transfer RNA, 76 nt
Filed under: Candidatus Andersenbacteria bacterium CG10_big_fil_rev_8_21_14_0_10_54_11
Lineage: Bacteria; Candidatus Anderseniibacteriota
Description: tRNA-Arg
Rfam family: tRNA
About the family: Transfer RNA (tRNA) molecules are approximately 80 nucleotides in length.
Source: RNAcentral